UACGUAGGUGGCAAGCGUUGUCCGGAUUUACUGGGCGUAAAGGAUGCGUAGGCGGAUAUUUAAGUGAGAUGUGAAAUUCCCAGGCUUAACUUGGGAGCUGCAUUUCAAACUGGAUAUCUAGAGUGCGGGAGAGGAGAAUGGAAUUCCUAGUGUAGCGGUGAAAUGCGUAGAGAUUAGGAAGAACACCAGUGGCGAAGGCGAUUCUCUGGCCCGUAACUGACGCUGAGGCAUGAAAGCGUGGUUCGCGAACAGGAUUAGAUCCCCUGGUAGUCCACGCCGUAAACGAUGAGUACUAGGUGUAGGAGGUAUCGACUCCUUCUGUGCCGCAGUUAACACAAUAAGUACUCCGCCUGGGAAGUACGAUCGCAAGAUUAA
RNAcentral lists this ribosomal RNA (375 nucleotides) under uncultured bacterium. RNAcentral's name for it is "bacterial SSU rRNA". It matches the Rfam family "Bacterial small subunit ribosomal RNA", at positions 524 to 897 of the family's 1533-position model. The record is from RNAcentral.